GAUGAACGCUAGCUACAGGCUUAACACAUGCAAGUCGAGGGGUAACGAGAGGAAAGCUUGCUUUCCUUGUCGACGACCGGCGCACGGGUGAGUAACGCGUAUCCAACCUGCCCCCAACUAAGGCAUAACCUUGCGAAAGUAAGACUAAUACCUUAUAAUUUCCUCAGAUGUCAUCUGACGAGGAAUAAAGAUUUAUCGGUUGUGGAUGGGGAUGCGUCUGAUUAGCUUGUUGGCGGGGUAACGGCCCACCAAGGCAACGAUCAGUAGGGGUUUUGAGAGGAAGGUCCUCCACAUUGGAACUGAGACACGGUCCAAACUCCUACGGGAAGCAGAAGUGAGGAAGAUUGGUCAAUGGGCGGAAGCCUGAACCAGCCAAGUAGCGUGCAGGAUGACGGCCCUAUAGGUUGUAAACUGCUUUUAUACAGAAAUAAAGUUAGCCACGUGUGGUUAUUUGUAGGUACUGUAUGAAUAAGGACCGGCUAAUUCCGUGCCAGCCGCCGCGGUAA
Molecule: ribosomal RNA, 506 nt
Filed under: uncultured bacterium
Lineage: Bacteria
Description: partial 16S ribosomal RNA
Rfam family: Bacterial small subunit ribosomal RNA
Source: RNAcentral